This 468-nucleotide ribosomal RNA is filed under the name uncultured bacterium. RNAcentral's name for it is "partial 16S ribosomal RNA". It matches the Rfam family "Bacterial small subunit ribosomal RNA", at positions 28 to 507 of the family's 1533-position model. The record is from RNAcentral.
GACGAACGCUGGCGGCGUGCUUAACACAUGCAAGUCGAACGGAAAGGCCCUGCUUUUGUGGGGUGCUCGAGUGGCGAACGGGUGAGUAACACGUGAGUAACCUGCCCUUGACUUUGGGAUAACUUCAGGAAACUGGGGCUAAUACCGGAUAGGAGCUCCUGCUGCAUGGUGGGGGUUGGAAAGUUUCGGCGGUUGGGGAUGGACUCGCGGCUUAUCAGCUUGUUGGUGGGGUAGUGUCUUACCAAGGCUUUGACGGGUAGCCGGGCUGAGAGGGUGACCGGCCACAUUGGGACUGGGAUACGGCCCAGACUCCUACGGGAGGCAGCAGUGGGGAAUAGUGCACAAUGGGCGGAAGCCUGAUGCAGCAACGCCGCGUGCGGGAUGACGGCCUUCGGGUUGUAAACCGCUUUCGCCUGUGACGAAGCGUGAGUGACGGUAAUGGGUAAAGAAGCACCGGCUAACUACGUG